GAUCAUGGGCUCAGAUUGAACGCUGGCGGCAUGCCUUACACAUGCAAGUCGAACGGUAACAGGUCUUCGGACGCUGACGAGUGGCGAACGGGUGAGUAAUACAUCGGAACGUGCCCAGUCGUGGGGGAUAACUACUCGAAAGAGUAGCUAAUACCGCAUACGAUCUGAGGAUGAAAGCGGGGGACCUUCGGGCCUCGCGCGAUUGGAGCGGCCGAUGGCAGAUUAGGUAGUUGGUGGGAUAAAAG
RNAcentral lists this ribosomal RNA (245 nucleotides) under uncultured bacterium. RNAcentral's name for it is "partial 16S ribosomal RNA". It matches the Rfam family "Bacterial small subunit ribosomal RNA", at positions 15 to 263 of the family's 1533-position model. The record is from RNAcentral.